Molecule: long non-coding RNA, 1484 nt
Filed under: Crocodylus porosus (Australian saltwater crocodile)
Lineage: Eukaryota; Metazoa; Chordata; Crocodylia; Crocodylidae
Description: lncRNA (ENSCPRG00005002866.1)
Source: RNAcentral
AGAAAUGCACUGGCCUGUACCGGGCCCUCUGCACAGGGCACAUUCCUCUCUGACGCGAGAGGACACCCAUUUGUUUUACCCUUGCAGUCCGGUUUGACAGCCGCUGGAUGAAGAGGGAAAUGUCGUUCAUUCCUAUCAAGUGAUUCACUGCUCUGGCCCAACGCUGAUGCCUCCCGGCAUAAGAACAUUCAAGUUUAAAGGAUCCGGAGUUAGCCUUCCUAUUUUUGUCGAGCUCACAGCAUUGUCAGAAGGAAAGGGUACCAUCUGGCGCAGCGUGGGUAGAGGAAUUCUGCAGCUUGGAUUUCGCUGGCAUCGGUUCUGCUCUCACAGUGGAUUGGCUGGAGUUCACUGCUGGCUCCUCACAAACUUCCUAAUUAAUCCACCCAAGAUCAGAGGAGGACUAAUCAGAGAUGAAACUUGUGUGUGCUGGGAGAUCCCCUUCUGCUCUUUCCUCCCCACUUGGAUUUGGACACUCUGGACCUGACAGUCUCCCCAAGCCUGCACGCUGCUUUGGGGAGACUCAGGGUGCUGCAGUCUUUUCUUCCGUGUUUCUCCCCCCUUCCCUGGCAUCAGAGCAAUUCCAUGGAGGGCCAUACAAAUCCCUUCUGGCUUUCUCCGACUCUCUUGGGCCUGCUUACUCUCCAUCGCAGCUGCCUGCUGCGCUUUUCCUAGGAAACAAUAGUCAAGUCGCUCAUCUGACAGUCACCCCCCUCACCUAGGACCCCCUCAGAUCAUCGACUACCUCCUCCUUUAUCCACCCUCUUGCUGCCUGCCGUGCCAGCUUGCCCACAGAUCCAUCAACCGCAUCCUCAGCAGCACUUAACAUUGCUUUUCAACUGUUCUUCUCCAGGUGCUUUACCAAAGCAAAUACCAUGUGGGGCGGGGAACGUAAGGCUCUCAAGAAAAGCCACCGUGGGAAACAUAAGUAUCUCCAGACGAGGGCCCCAAACCUGCAAUUCUUGGGCUGGUGCCCGAUCCAUUGAUCUCUGCUGUCUCCUGGCUUCCUGUCCCACCUCGUUCUACAGAUUACACCCAUAUGUCCAUCUAACUAUGUUUCUGGCUCGUAGCAGCGGCCAAGCCCCGAUUUGAAGCCCCUUGAAUUCUUCAUCAUUACUCCUGAGCAGAGCUGUCAGCAAAGGGGAGCCCGCGGUCCCCUCGGCUGCCCCCUUGCUUCUUACACGACGGGAUGAUUCACCAGCAAAGCAAGAAGCCCGGAAGGAGAAAUCUCUCUGCGGGGCUUGGCUGUGACUCGCCAUUUAAAGGGGACAACGGAGGGUGUGAACUUGCAGAGAAGAGACACCAUUAAAGAUUGUAAUUUGUUGAUCCAGCCUCUCCUGGCAUUUCAGCGCAGAGAGUGGCACCGUUUUCUUUAUGACCUCAUAAAGUCACAGCCGAGAGGCCGAUUUGGAAAACAAACUGCCUCAGGUUGACAGAUAAUUAGAUACAGGGGACAUAUUAUACGCCUUUGCAUAUAAAUGCACUCU